RNAcentral lists this ribosomal RNA (253 nucleotides) under uncultured bacterium. RNAcentral's name for it is "partial 16S ribosomal RNA". It matches the Rfam family "Bacterial small subunit ribosomal RNA", at positions 524 to 776 of the family's 1533-position model. The record is from RNAcentral.
UACGGAGGGUGCAAGCGUUGCUCGGAAUCAUUGGGCGUAAAGAGCUCGUAGGCGGCUGCUCAAGUCGAAUGUGAAAACUCGAGGCUCAACCUCGAGCCUGCAUUCGAUACUGGGCGGCUAGAGUCUGGUAGGGGGAUCUGGAAUUCCUGGUGUAGCGGUGGAAUGCGCAGAUAUCAGGAGGAACACCGGUGGCGAAGGCGGGAUCCUGGGCCAGUACUGACGCUGAGGAGCGAAAGCGUGGGGAGCAAACAGG